This is a long non-coding RNA of Malurus melanocephalus (red-backed fairy wren), 2102 nucleotides long. RefSeq lists it as uncharacterized. The record is from RefSeq and is a predicted model, not a curated record. The transcript has 8 exons. Lineage: Eukaryota; Metazoa; Chordata; Aves; Passeriformes; Maluridae.
CAUCAGUUUAAAAAGGCACGGCUGUGCUCUGCAGUAAAUCUCCUUGUGCUGUCCCAGAGCAGUGCAGCUCCCUGGUCCUGCUGUCCCUGUGAUCCCAUGCCCUGGAUGCUCAGAGCUGUGUCCUCUCCUCUCUGCCAGGUGGAACAGGCUGCAGUGCCAUAAAUCUCCAGGCUGGCUCUUUCAGUUUAUCGAGGCUGAGUGGCUGUGGUGAUCCUCCAUAAACAACUCAGACGUGUGGAAGAUGAAUUUUAACGAGUGUUCUCAAAGCUAAGUGCUACCUCUUGCUUCUACACCUCAGAUUCACCCAUUUUUUUUUUAUUUUUAUGUGAUAUCAGAGGCUGCUCCGUGGUUUUUUCCCCCUAAUUACCUACACUCAAGCUGGAUUCUGUCAAACYCAGAGGACAGGGAAGGUAGCUGUGUACACAGAGCUGGGGUUUCCACCUGGCCUGACUGAUGCAAGGGUUUAAACUCCCCGUCAAAACACCUGGGCUUUUCAAGGGGAGGGAUUAGGAACUUGYGCCUAGGGAUUGUUUCGUUUGGUUUUGCCCGUGCAAAAGGCUUUUGUGUUUCGUGUCCUCUCUGUAAAAUGUUCAACCUUGUUCUAGGAAAGGCUCCAAAGUAAAUUAGAGSGGCCUCAGGGGCUGUUUUAAAUCAUAGCAGCUGAGCCUUAGCCCAGCAGUUGACGCUCCACCCUGCGUCUCUUCCACCAACACUCUCUGUAAUAACCUCAGCUCUUCACCUUCUCACACAGCUCUUUGCUUUGCAUCACUGGCAGGUUUCCCUAGGUAGGCUGGAAAAUCAUCAGAUCUGCAUCACAACAAGCAAAGAGAACGAGAAGCAGAGCCCACUGGCCUUGCUGGGAAGCAGGCAGUCACCAGUUACUGUAAUUCAGUAUUCCUGUUUAUAUUCCGGAGCACGCAGACUGACGGAGUAGGAAAAACACAGCUACAAUAAUUGCUCCUGGGUAUUGUGCUUUCAUUGACAAACACAACCACUCCUGAAGCUGCUGAGGACAAUUUCCCUGAACUCCCAGCAUUGUGCAAUUGCCCCUAUGCCUUUUUUGGGGUUUCCACUUUGCUCAGCUCUGGCAAAUACCAGACAGGGCAGGGAAAUUGAUGGAUCAGUGGAAUGAUCCAGUACCAAGAAAUCCAUGGUUACAAAAAUAGGCAGUUAUUCUUAUCAUUUCCUUGUUCUGACACAAUUUCCUGCYCUCCUCUCAGGCUGUUCUUCAGAARGCCARGAUGACAGAUCUGCUUUGGAGCCUGUCAAACCCCUGUGCAGAGCACCUCUCCUGCCUUGGAGAACAAUGGUUGGGAGCAGGGCGAGGAGCUGUGCUGUGCUAGCAGCCUUUGAUCACACCUGGCACAUCUCCAAACAGGGCCUGCUCGUGGGCACUGCUGGGCUUGAACAUUUCUGAUCCUAUCACACCAAAGUGUAGGAGCUGUGCUCUGCUUGCUACCCCAGAUUGCAMUUUAUGAGUAAAUGCCAGUUCCAACAGGCACAUUUCAAGGUACAGCUGAUGGAAAUGUUGUCAGUGCUGUUCAAACGGUGAAGCUGCACACAAACACGGGCAGGGGAUUGGAAAAGAGAGAAGAGGAACCUUGAGGAGAUUUGACUCCGGGGUUUUGAAAAGCCUUUCUCAGCUCAUACCUGAGGGGCUGUGUGCCAAGAAAUCUGCCAAGCCAAGCACUGURAAUGUCACUAAAGCUGGUGGGUGCAAACAGAAGAGCUCAAAAUUGUGAUAAGAGGAUCUUCAGAGCUUCUGGUGGUGCUUCCARGGAACACCUUCUGCUUGUAAGUGAGAAAUUGAUAAUGACAUCGUUAAUAAAAUCCAGAAGGAAAACAUUUGUGUGCAGGAACAGAAGAUGUACAGUGGCUCCUUAGACAGCACACUAAAGGGAUGUUAAACAGCACAGGRGGAGCCGUGAGCUCUCGGGAAGGUGUGUGACCCAGGGUGCUCCACRAACAACCUGGUGCUGAACGCUGUGGGAAACUCAUGAAGAAACACGCGUGGGACCACGGUUCAGCUGCAGACACACCAGGUUCUUCAGCCUCCUACCUCUGGGAAUGCAAAACUGAUUCAUUUUAUCUACAGGUACACC